GGGUAUGAGGUUUUGAGUAUGUAGGUGAGAGGGAGUGGGUAUGAGGUUUUGAGUAUGUACAGUAGGUGAGAGGGAGUGGGUAUGAGGUUUUGAGUAUGUAGGUGAGAGGGAGUGGGUAUGAGGUUUUGAGUAUGUAGGUGAGAGGGAGUGGGUAUGAGGUUUUGAGUAUGUACAGUAGGUGAGAGGGAGUGGGUAUGAGGUUUUGAGUAUGUACAGUAGGUGAGAGGGAGUGGGUAUGAGGUUUUGAGUAUGUAGGUGAGAGAGGGAGUGGGUAUGAGGUUUUGAGUAUGUAGGUGAGAGGGAGUGGGUAUGAGGUUUUGAGUAUGUACAGUAGGUGAGAGGGAGUGGGUAUGAGGUUUUGAGUAUGUACAGUAGGUGAGAGGGAGUGGGUAUGAGGUUUUGAGUAUGUAGGUG
Long non-coding RNA from Alosa alosa (allis shad), 414 nucleotides. RefSeq lists it as uncharacterized. NCBI's taxonomy places the organism in Eukaryota, Metazoa, Chordata, Actinopteri, Clupeiformes, Clupeidae. The transcript has 3 exons. The record is from RefSeq and is a predicted model, not a curated record.